Long non-coding RNA from Pogoniulus pusillus (Red-fronted tinkerbird), 836 nucleotides. RefSeq lists it as uncharacterized. NCBI's taxonomy places the organism in Eukaryota, Metazoa, Chordata, Aves, Piciformes, Lybiidae. The record is from RefSeq and is a predicted model, not a curated record. The transcript has 2 exons.
ACUCCAACAGAACCCAGGUGCUCUGAGUUUGGGGAAUAAAAGGGAAAAAUGCAGGGUGGGGCAGGAAAGGAGCUUUCUCAUUGCUUCCUUUAGCUUUGACUGCUAGGUCUGAGCUGCUUCUCAUCUUGCCACUUGCCCAGGCUCAUGUUCUAGCCAUAAUGCAAGCCUUUUCUUGAUGAAGGAACUCCAGUAGAUGUGGAGACUCCGUUUCUCUCUAUAACUGCCUGAAGGUUUGGUCUCUUCUCCCAGGAACAGAACAAGAGAACACAUCCUCAAGCUGUGCUAAGGCAUUCUCAAGGACAUUCUUCUAUGUCAGGAAGGAAGCAAAAAAGAUACCAUCACUCCAGAGAUUCCUGUCAUUCCAGAUCAGGGACUGGAAUGAAAUGGUACCAGCAUUUUUCCUGCUAUCAUCAGUUUCAGCACAGUUUAUUAUUAAUUUUUAAUUACCUUUUGAGAACUGAGAUAUUUCGUCUGCUGAAUUUCUUAUGAUAUGACUUCUUCUGUCGACAGAUGGAAACUCUUUCUACCAAAAAAUGUGAGGAAUAUUGUACUUUCUGCUUUUAUGUUGGGUGAAUCCUAAUGCUUGACAAGUUAAUGAUCAGUUUUUCAUGCUGGAAGCCCUGAAUUUCAUCAGCACUUUUUCAUGUUCAGUGACAAGUCCGACAUUUGCAAAACUGUCCAAAAUAAUUAGUGGAGUGUGUCCACUCAUGUGCACAAGCCCCUGAUAACAGUGUGCUAAUGACCUGCAUAAAAGUGGCCUUUCAAAAUGUGCCUGGAUCCUUGAUAACACAUGGAAAAAAAAUCCAAAAUGAAUAAAUGAGCAUAAUUUAACUCUU